AUGAGUCUCUUAUGUUGGAACUGCCGCGGUGCUGGCAAACCCGCGACAGUUCGAGAGCUUCGUGAUCUAACGAAGCAGUUUGCCCCCUCUGUACUGUGUAUCUUGGAAACUCAAAUAGAGGGUUCUAGAGUCGAGAGCAUGGUUGGCUCUUUAGGGUUUAAUAAAAGCUUUGUUGUGAGUAGUUCUGGCAGAAGUGGUGGUUUAGGAGUUUUU
This 213-nucleotide ribosomal RNA is filed under the name Triticum aestivum (bread wheat). RNAcentral's name for it is "partial small subunit ribosomal RNA". The record is from RNAcentral. Lineage: Eukaryota; Viridiplantae; Streptophyta; Magnoliopsida; Poales; Poaceae.